RNAcentral lists this ribosomal RNA (271 nucleotides) under uncultured bacterium. Its description in RNAcentral is "partial 16S ribosomal RNA". It matches the Rfam family "Bacterial small subunit ribosomal RNA", at positions 28 to 303 of the family's 1533-position model. The record is from RNAcentral.
GAUGAACGCUAGCGGCAGGCUUAACACAUGCAAGUCGAGGGGUAUGCUUCUUCGGGAGCAGAGACCGGCGCACGGGUGCGUAACGCGUAUGCAAUCUACCUUUCACAGAGGGAUAGCCCAGAGAAAUUUGGAUUAAUACCUCAUAGUAUACAGACUCGGCAUCGAGAUUGUAUUAAAGUCACAACGGUGAAAGAUGAGCAUGCGUCCCAUUAGCUUGUUGGUAAGGUAACGCUUACCAAGGCUACGAUGGGUAGGGGUCCUGAGAGGGAGA